GAUGACGCGGGCGGCGCGCUUAACACAUGCAAGUCGACCGGUUAAAGCCCUUUUAGGUGUGUAUAAAGUGGCGAACGGCUGAGUAACACGUGGGCAACCUGCCCUCCUCUUGGGGAUAGCCUCGGGAAACCGAGGAUAAUACCCGAUACUUCAAUGUGGCCGCAUGGCGACAUUGAGAAAGCUUUUGCGGAGAAGGAUGGGCCCGCGGCCUGUUAGCUUGUUGGUGGGGUAGAGGCCUACCAAGGCAAUGAUGGGUAGCUGGGUUGAGAGACCGACCAGCCAGAUUGGGACUGAGACACGGCCCAGACUCCUACGGGAGGCAGCAGUGGGGAAUCUUGCACAAUGGGCGAAAGCCUGAUGCAGCGACGCCGCGUGCGGGACGAAGGCCUUCGGGUUGUAAACCGCUUUCAGCAGGGACGAGGCGAAAGUGACGGACCUGCAGAAGAGCCCCGCA
This 454-nucleotide ribosomal RNA is filed under the name Lancefieldella rimae. Its description in RNAcentral is "bacterial SSU rRNA". It matches the Rfam family "Bacterial small subunit ribosomal RNA", at positions 33 to 497 of the family's 1533-position model. The record is from RNAcentral. Lineage: Bacteria; Bacillati; Actinomycetota; Coriobacteriia; Coriobacteriales; Atopobiaceae.